Molecule: non-coding RNA, 537 nt
Organism: Myripristis murdjan (pinecone soldierfish)
Lineage: Eukaryota; Metazoa; Chordata; Actinopteri; Holocentriformes; Holocentridae
Source: the annotation of a RefSeq genome assembly
AUGAUGGGCUAUAGGACAGGACUGCUGCUUUUAACUCUCUGCUGGGCAGGUGUUGAUGGUCAGACUCCGACACAAUCUGAACCAGUGGUUAAAAAGCCUGCAGAGUCCCACACAUUGACCUGCACAGCCUCUGGAUUCACAUUCAGCAGCAACUGGAUGGUCUGGAUCAGACAGGCUCCUGGAAAAGGACUGGAGUGGAUCACUACUAUCAGAUAUGAUGGUGGCACCACCUACUACUCCCAGUCAGUCCAAGGCCGCUUCAACAUCUCCAGAGACAACAGCAGACAGAAGGUGUAUCUCCAGAUGAACAGUCUGAAGACUGAAGACUCUGCUGUUUAUUAUUGUGCUCUGCUCAGGGCCAGUCCUUCACCUCCUCAGAGCCAGUGGUCAAGAGAGCUGGACAGUCAGUCAUUCUGUCCUGCAAAGUGUCUGGACUUCCUCUUGCUUGGCUGCACUGGAUUCGCCAGAAACCAGGCAGGGGACUGGAAUGGAUAUUUUGUAGUAGAAAUCAUGCUGCAGUUCUUCUUUGAACAUUAG